AACUUGAAAGUUUAGGCUCGGCCCAUUAAACUGUUUGGGCUUGCUCAAGAAAUUAUCAAAUGUUACAUUACAUGGAAAUAUCUGUUUCAACUUUCAAGUCAAGAUGUUGAAAUUGUCUACCUACUGCUACUGAAAUAUAUGUAUAAAUAUAUAUGUAUGUAAGUUCAUCAACCACUAAUGUUAUUGAAAUUGAAUAUUUCAACAUUCGGUUACUUUUCCUAAUUUGCUACAAGAAAUCUUGUCCUCAAGGUUGACAAUAUACCCUCUAUAUAUAUUAUACAAAUCAAAGCACGGCAUCACACCACACCACAACGCGGAUUCUAAUUCUGAAAAUGAAGUUCGGGGGUGUUACUUUGUUCUUGCUAGUUCUUUUUACACUUGUUCUGAUUUCAUCGGAAGGAAGACACCUUCAAAGCUCUCCACAAUCCGAGAUUAAUGACCCAUCUGGAUCGAUGACUAAAUUAAUAAAAGGAGAAACCCGUAGGGAACUAGCAGGAAGUUAUGGUUGUUGGAAAUGUUGGGGUAAGCAUGGUCGUAAUCGUCGCCUAUUGACCAUAUGGUUGGGUUGAAUUUGGAUAUUUUUAUGAGAACAUGUGGUUGAUUGAUUCAUAUUUAUUACGUACCAUAUAUGCUGCUAAUAUGAAUAAAAGGUUAAAGAUAUCUAUUAUGUACAAGUAAACAUAUAUGCUAAUAUGAAUAAAAGGUUAAAUAUUUUUUAUGCA
This is a long non-coding RNA of Helianthus annuus (common sunflower), 722 nucleotides long. RefSeq lists it as uncharacterized. The transcript is spliced from 2 exons. The record is from RefSeq and is a predicted model, not a curated record. NCBI's taxonomy places the organism in Eukaryota, Viridiplantae, Streptophyta, Magnoliopsida, Asterales, Asteraceae.